Molecule: unclassified non-coding RNA, 209 nt
Filed under: Hevea brasiliensis (rubber tree)
Lineage: Eukaryota; Viridiplantae; Streptophyta; Magnoliopsida; Malpighiales; Euphorbiaceae
Source: RNAcentral
GUGGAUUUUUCCUUUGAGUUUAUGUCUAAGAAAAUAGCACAAAAAAAAGAAAAAGCAAUCAAUUGAAAGAAAGAAACCUUCAUUGAAAAUGUAAAGGAUGGAUAAUUUGGAGAUAAUAUUUUUUUACUCACUCACUUUACUUCAUUUUUGUAAUUUUUCCAAAUUUUUUUUUUCUUUAGCUUGACUUAUGAACGGGGACACAACUUCUU